UCUUAAAUUUAGUGUUUGUACAUAAAUUUCACGUAUAUUAAAAAAUUAUAUAUAAUAUUCAUAAUUUUUAUUUUUAUCUAAUAAAUAAAUUUCUUCGUGAAUCAAAAUUCACCGAAGUUAUUGGUAUUUCUAAAAAAAUUUGCCUCUUUUACUCCAUAGAUUCCACCAACCAGCAGAUCAUUGCAUUCCAUGCAACAUCUCUCUCCAGCAUUUCAUCAAACAUAUACAGAGCCGCCACCAAAGUCCAACCACCCACAUUACGAACUCAAAAUUGACAAGACUCUUCUCUACACGCACGUUGUUGAUCAAACCCGCAUUAAAAACGAAUUUUCCUCGCCCGUAUUAACAUCAUAUUAGAUCCCGGCAAGCCUCGAGCACGAGAGACAAACUAAAGAUUGCAUGUGGGAGCAUCUGGUGAGCAUUGAUUCGCCGUUUUGGAGCUUGUCUUGAUGUGGACAAUCCAAUUCCAGUGUUUUGAAUCGAGGGUUCGGCUUUGUUCAGGCAUAAUCAUGAUGUACAAAUUCAACGUCUAGCGUCCCAUUAACGUUGUUUAUCAGAAAAGAACUGGAAAUAUACCAUUGAGUAUGCUGAAUAUGCAAAGUCGGAUGCUCCAAAGUU
Sesamum indicum (sesame) is the source of this 618-nucleotide non-coding RNA. The record is from RefSeq and is a predicted model, not a curated record. NCBI's taxonomy places the organism in Eukaryota, Viridiplantae, Streptophyta, Magnoliopsida, Lamiales, Pedaliaceae.